This 1276-nucleotide ribosomal RNA is filed under the name Desemzia sp. PA1.3A. Its description in RNAcentral is "bacterial SSU rRNA". It matches the Rfam family "Bacterial small subunit ribosomal RNA", at positions 94 to 1351 of the family's 1533-position model. Lineage: Bacteria; Bacillati; Bacillota; Bacilli; Lactobacillales; Carnobacteriaceae. The record is from RNAcentral.
AGUGGCGGACGGGUGAGUAACCGUGGGUAACCUACCUACAAGCGGGGGAUAACAUUCGGAAACGGAUGCUAAUACCGCAUAGAUCUUUUUGUCUCCUGGCAGAAAGAAGAAAGACGGUUUCGGCUGUCACUUGUAGAUGGACCCGCGGCGCAUUAGUUAGUUGGUGAGGUAAUGGCUCACCAAGACGAUGAUGCGUAGCCGACCUGAGAGGGUGAUCGGCCACACUGGGACUGAGACACGGCCCAGACUCCUACGGGAGGCAGCAGUAGGGAAUCUUCCGCAAUGGACGAAAGUCUGACGGAGCAACGCCGCGUGAGUGAAGAAGGUUUUCGGAUCGUAAAACUCUGUUGUUAGAGAAGAACAAGGAUGAGAGUAACUGCUCGUCCCUUGACGGUAUCUAACCAGAAAGCCAUGGCUAACUACGUGCCAGCAGCCGCGGUAAUACGUAGAUGGCAAGCGUUGUCCGGAUUUAUUGGGCGUAAAGCGAGCGCAGGCGGUUCUUUAAGUCUGAUGUGAAAGCCCCUGGCUCAACCAGGGAGGGUCAUUGGAAACUGGAGAACUUGAGUGCAGAAGAGGAAAGUGGAAUUCCAUGUGUAGCGGUGAAAUGCGUAGAUAUAUGGAGGAACACCAGUGGCGAAGGCGACUUUCUGGUCUGUAACUGACGCUGAGGCUCGAAAGCAUGGGGAGCAAACAGGAUUAGAUACCCUGGUAGUCCAUGCCGUAAACGAUGAGUGCUAAGUGUUGGAGGGUUUCCGCCCUUCAGUGCUGCAGCUAACGCAUUAAGCACUCCGCCUGGGGAGUACGACCGCAAGGUUGAAACUCAAAGGAAUUGACGGGGGCCCGCACAAGCGGUGGAGCAUGUGGUUUAAUUCGAAGCAACGCGAAGAACCUUACCAGGUCUUGACAUCCUUUGACCACUCUAGAGAUAGAGCUUUCCCUUCGGGGACAAAGUGACAGGUGGUGCAUGGUUGUCGUCAGCUCGUGUCGUGAGAUGUUGGGUUAAGUCCCGCAACGAGCGCAACCCUUAUUAUUAGUUGCCAGCAUUCAGUUGGGCACUCUAGUGAGACUGCCGGUGAUAAACCGGAGGAAGGUGGGGGAUGACGUCAAAUCAUCAUGCCCCUUAUGACCUGGGGCUACACACGUGCUACAAUGGAUGGUACAACGAGUCGCAAAACCCGCGAGGUUAAGCUAAUCUCUUAAAGCCAUUCUCAGUUUCGGAUUGUAGGCUGCAAUUCGCCUACAUGAAANCCGGAAUCGCUAGUNAAUCNCGGNAUCA